UACCUCAGAUGUCAAAGGAUGUUUUUUACUCUCAAUUUUGAGGAUUUUUCAGAUAAUCUUGGUAUCAGAUGACUGAGAGAAACUAAAUAACAGUACCAGACAUGGUACGCUAAUAGCUGAUAGUGAGUAGCCGGGUUCUUCUUCCACACUUGGACAUAUCCUUACUUAAAUAUGAAAUUUAGUAGACUAUCAUGUUUACUUGCAGAAACAACUCUGACAGUUUCGUAAUUGUCCUUCAGAUUUCCAGAGGAGUUCAAUAGGGAGCCAUAUUAUGUGCUGUCAAUGGGUUCCUUCUUUGCAUCAUAACAGUUCUGUCCAUCUACAUGCCUUUUUUUCGUUGGCUUCUCGGAAAGUGAGGAAGCAUCAGUUGUGUCCAGGGCAAUGUUCUUCUUCUUUAGCCCCUCCUCCUUCACCGCCAUAGCUACUGCAUCGUCAUGCUCUCUCUUGAGACACUUCAAAACUGACUAGACCAGCUGUGCAGUGUAAGCGGCUCUGGAUGCGGCAGACAUGCCUGGCUUCUGAUGGUGGAAGGAAAACCAACCAGGUGAAUCAUAAAUGCUUUCAGAUCGACAAGCAGACUUUGGUAUUGCAAAAAGGGCCUCCCAACAAUGGAUGCAAAGAAGAUUCUGGUUCAGAUAAAUCUUCGGUACUCGUAUUGCACCCUGCAACUAUUGCACAUGUUGGUAUUUUACAGUCCCAAAAUUAAAUCGAGCAAAUUAAACACAAAGAACACAAAGAUUUUUCGCCCGAAGACCCAGAUGUUCACCCAAGAAUGGGCUACUCACCAUGUUGUGCAUCCACCUAAGUGGUUAACACUAUAAUCCAUUAGAAUCCAACUAAAUGUGUGGAAAUACAAGAAUCAGAGACUCAAGAAUCACUCGACUCAAAGCCCUCAGACUCAACUCUCACUUUUUCUCUUGUUUACAGAUUACACCAAGUAAUCAAGAGUUACAGUUCACCCAAGAACAAUAAAACUCUAACCAUCACGUAAUCUACAUUGGACAUCACCAAGAAUACCAGAAAACUCAAGAUUACAAAUGAAAACCAAUGGUUUUGAGGGAGAGAAAUCACAAAGACGAAUAGAGAUUGAAACCCUAGAAUAAUUGCGAACCCAAUAAUGAGAGAAACUUGAAUAUAA
This 1138-nucleotide long non-coding RNA is filed under the name Olea europaea (common olive). RNAcentral's name for it is "long non-coding RNA (OEUR_LNC008409)". Lineage: Eukaryota; Viridiplantae; Streptophyta; Magnoliopsida; Lamiales; Oleaceae. The record is from RNAcentral.